UACUUGUUGAUUUAAACCCAGCGAGUUCAGUUGAAAAAUUAACUCGCACAUACGCGCAAGAAAACAACGCAUUUUGGGUAUUUUUGAAGUGGGUUAGAGUGUUGUUUCAAUCCUAAUGAUUAAUUAACACGUCGCGCAGCCCUUUCACAGUACGCGGAACAACGAGGUAUUUAAAGCAAUAAGCCAAUCGUUCCUUCAACCUUCAACCGCCCUCGUCGGCCUCAUCGUGCGUUAAUAACGAAAGGGGUGACGUGACGCACCCUCUGCGCGCUAAGAACAUGUGCAUAAACUUUGAACAAUAAGCGAUGACAAGAUGGCGACGAGAACCGCAAUGCAAUCAGUCAACAUCAUCAAAAAUUUGAAACAAAGAAAAAAAUACAAAGAGGUUAUGUUCUGUUGGAAUGAAAAUCUUUGAUGGUGAAAUUAAACGCGAUUGACUUACGAGCAAUUUGCAACGGUUCAGGCCCAGAAUGAUAAAAUAAAAAUCGAAAAACUAGAAUCGCGAUUUUCUCGCUUUUCCACCCUCCGAUGGCAAUCAAAGCGAUAUGAUAUCGUGUGAGACGAGCGCCGAGAUGAAAAGUAACCCGCGAACAAAUAAUGGACGCACACACAAAAACGCGCCCGAACGGAAUAUAAGAAAACAGGAAAAUGCGGGCGCACGAGAAAAAAAUCAUCAAACCACCAGAGAAAUAAAUAAAAUGAGAUCAAAUAACAUCAGAGUCGAGAAGCGAAGAAAUUCGAAGUCGUGAUAAACGAUGCUAUGAUUAUUGAAUUAUUGCGCAAUUAAUUAGUGCACUAAUAGAAUAAAUAUAUAACGUAUAUACAGUG
Long non-coding RNA from Dalotia coriaria, 828 nucleotides. RefSeq lists it as uncharacterized. NCBI's taxonomy places the organism in Eukaryota, Metazoa, Arthropoda, Insecta, Coleoptera, Staphylinidae. The record is from RefSeq and is a predicted model, not a curated record. The transcript is spliced from 2 exons.